UACGUAGGGGGCUAGCGUUGUCCGGAUUUAUUGGGCGUAAAGAGCGUGUAGGCAGCCAGGUAGGUCUGCUGUGAAAACUCGAGGCUCAACCUCGAGAUGUCGGCGGAAACCAUCUGGCUAGAGUCCGGAAGAGGAAAGUGGAAUUCCUUGUGUAGCGGUGAAAUGCGCAGAUAUCAGGAAGAACACCCGUGGCGAAGGCGGCUUUCUGGGACGGUACUGACGCUGAGACGCGAAAGCGUGGGGAGCGAACAGG
This 253-nucleotide ribosomal RNA is filed under the name uncultured bacterium. Its description in RNAcentral is "partial 16S ribosomal RNA". It matches the Rfam family "Bacterial small subunit ribosomal RNA", at positions 524 to 776 of the family's 1533-position model. The record is from RNAcentral.